CAUGCUCUCCAUUUCUCAGCUGUGCGAGGACCCAAAAAGGAGGAAAUCAUUCCGUUACGGCUUACGGUGCGGCAGUGUGGAGACCUGUCGUAACGUGCGGCGCCCCUGCGGCUCCGCACAAGGCAGCUUUCGCGGAGGCGUGGCUGUCAAAGCCGGUGAAACAUGGCA
Molecule: non-coding RNA, 168 nt
Filed under: uncultured Dysosmobacter sp.
Lineage: Bacteria; Bacillati; Bacillota; Clostridia; Eubacteriales; Oscillospiraceae
Description: malK-I RNA
Rfam family: malK-I RNA
Source: RNAcentral